RNAcentral lists this ribosomal RNA (1257 nucleotides) under Physopelta sp. RNAcentral describes it as "16S ribosomal RNA". The stretch from base 829 to 1184 matches the Rfam family "Archaeal large subunit ribosomal RNA", at positions 2153 to 2713 of the family's 2987-position model. The record is from RNAcentral. Lineage: Eukaryota; Metazoa; Arthropoda; Insecta; Hemiptera; Largidae.
UUUUAAAAUUAAUAUUAUUUUAAUGUUUUGUUAAAUAUUUUUAGUAAAAGUAAUUUGUUUUUUAGUAAUAUUUUACGAAUUAAUUUAUAUUUAUUAUAGUUUAUGUGUACUGUAAAGGGUUUACAUUAUUUAAUUAUAAGUAUACUUGUUUGUAGUACCUUUUGUAUCAGGGUUUAUUUAAAAUUCCUUAAUUAUAUUAAGUUUCCCGAAAGUAGAAGAUAUAAAGUUUUAUAAUUUUUUAUGUUUUAUAAUAAUUUUAAAUAUUACUUUAGGAAUUAUAUGUUAUUCAUUUCUAUAUAUCUGGUUCUUUAAUAAAUUAAUUUAAUUUAGGAUAUUUAUUGGUUUAUUUAUAUUUUUAUUUUAUAUAAAUUUAAAUAUCAAAGAUUGCUGGGGAUAAGCUUGGCAUUUAUUUCUAUAAUUUUUAUUUUAUUUAAUUUUUGUAGGUUUAAUAACAUCCAUCUUUAAUUUCGUUAUAGUUUUAUUUAUUUCUUUUUUAAUUUUAUAUUAUUUAGUUUGUUAUUAAAGUUAAAUAUUUAAUUUUGUAUUAUUUGUAUUAAUGAUAAAAUUAGUAGAUUAUAAAUUUAAAUUUAGUAAUUCGGCAAUUAUUACUUCCGCCUGUUUAACAAAAACAUGUCUUAUUGAUAAUAAUUUUAAGUCUAGCCUGCUCAAUGAAUAUUUUAAUAGCCAUAGUAUUUUAACUAUGCAAAGGUAGCAUAAUCAUUUGUCUUUUAAUUGAAGGCUCGUAUGAAUGGUUUGACGAGGGGUAAACUUUCUUAAUUUAAAUUUAAUUGAAUUUAACUUUUAAGUAAAAAGGCUUAAAUAUAGUUUUGGGACGAGAAGACCCUAUAGAAUUUUAUUAUUAUUAUUAAUUUUUAUUAUAUUAUUAGUAGAGGUUAAUAAUAAUAAUUUUGUUGGGGUGACAGUAGAAAUUUUUUAACUUCUAUUAUUAAUUUUUCAUUAAUUAGUGUUUUAUUGAUCCUUUAUUAUGGAUUAUAAGAUUAAAUUACCUUAGGGAUAACAGCGUAAUUUUUUCGGAGAGUUCUUAUCGAUGAAAUAGUUUGCGACCUCGAUGUUGGAUUAAAAUUAAUUAUUAGUGCAGAAAUUAAUAAAUUAGGUCUGUUCGACCUUUAAAUUUUUACAUGAUCUGAGUUCAGACCGGCGUGAGCCAGGUUGGUUUCUAUCUAUAAUUUUCUUUAAAUAGUUUAGUACGAAAGGAUCUACUAUUUUUAAUAUUUAAUUGUUUUUGAUUUAUAUUAA